UGGGGAAUCUUGCGCAAUGGGGGAAACCCUGACGCAGCGACGCCGCGUGCGGGAUGAAGGCCUUCGGGUUGUAAACCGCUUUCAGCAGGGACGAGGCCUUAUGGUGACGGUACCUGCAGAAGAAGCUCCGGCUAAAUACGUGCCAGCAGCCGCGGUAAUACGUAUGGAGCAAGCGUUAUCCGGAUUCAUUGGGCGUAAAGCGCUCGUAGGCGGUCUGUUAGUUCGGCAAGUUAAAUCCGGGGGCUCAACCCCCGUCCGCUUCCGAUACCGGCAGACUUGAGUUUAGUAGGGGAAGGUGGAAUUCCUAGUGUAGCGGUGGAAUGCGCAGAUAUUAGGAAGAACACCGGUGGCGAAGGCGGCCUUCUGGGCCAUAACUGACGCUGAGGAGCGAAAGCUAGGGGAGCGAACAGG
RNAcentral lists this ribosomal RNA (411 nucleotides) under Verrucomicrobiota bacterium. RNAcentral's name for it is "Verrucomicrobia bacterium partial 16S ribosomal RNA". It matches the Rfam family "Bacterial small subunit ribosomal RNA", at positions 355 to 776 of the family's 1533-position model. Lineage: Bacteria; Pseudomonadati; Verrucomicrobiota. The record is from RNAcentral.